Molecule: long non-coding RNA, 1008 nt
Filed under: Homo sapiens (human)
Lineage: Eukaryota; Metazoa; Chordata; Mammalia; Primates; Hominidae
Description: HSALNT0362305
Source: RNAcentral
CAUCUAUCAUCCCACUCAUUCAUUCAUCCAACCACACACCUUUUAAUUUAUUCAACCACCUAUUCUUCUAUUCAUCUUCCCAUACAACUUCUCAUCCAUCAUUCCACACUUCCUUUUUCACAUCUCUUCAUAAAACCACAACCAUCCACCAUCCUCUUCUCCACCCAUCCACCCACAUAUCUGUUUAUUGAUAUAUCCACUCAUUUCCCAUCUGUCCAAGAUCAACAUAUCCACCUAUCAUUUUAUCCAUUCUCUCAUCCACCCAUACGUUCAUCUAUUAUUUUUGCCCCCAUUAUCCUCCUUUCUGUGUAAACAUUAAUUCAUUUUCUCCCAUCUUUCCUACCCAGCAGAUCUUAAAGAGAGGAAGAGUUUGUAAUAUUCUUCAGGGGAAGCCUUUUGAGAUUGAAAUAUCAUACUUUGAAUGAUAACUCUAUAUCUAUCUAUAAUAUACUAUGGUUUAAUGUUUGGAAAUCAAACGCAGUAUUUAUUUGUCAUGUGAACUACUAAAAGUAAAUCUGCAUGGACUUCUUGCCUGGUGAGUUACACAGAAAAUGAAAGUGAUUAUCAGUGGCUGUGGCAAGAUGAAAGGAACCAUGCCAGGACUUCUGAGGGAAGGAAGAGUGUUUGGGACUGAAAAAUCCUUGUCUGGAUCUAGUCCUCAGCCACUCAGAAGCUGGCAUGCCAUGACUCAAAGAGCCGCCCGUCUGGAAUGAAGACAGUGACCCGUAACUCCCACCUGAAGAGCAGGUGCUUGGAAAAUGCUGCCAGUCCGCAGGAAAAAGUUGUUACUGCUGCUGUCUGUGACCAAGAGGACACUUUAUUUCUUGAAACAACUGGGGGCAAACUGGCUCCCAGAUAAGGCUUCAGUCCCUACUCAUGUGAGGAAACCAGCCCUGGUAGGUUCCAUGCACAAGAAUACAGGACAAGGAGCAGCUUUUUUCACCUCAUGCAACCUCCAGGGAUUUCAGCUUCCUUUUCUUGGAGCAAGAAAGUGAAGUGACGUGGGGA